This 3413-nucleotide long non-coding RNA is filed under the name Panax ginseng (ginseng). RNAcentral describes it as "long non-coding RNA (PGIN_LNC000237)". The record is from RNAcentral. Lineage: Eukaryota; Viridiplantae; Streptophyta; Magnoliopsida; Apiales; Araliaceae.
UCAAAGUUUACUUUCCCAGGUACGUGACCUUCAAAUACAUUCCUUACAAUACCUGACAAUAGAUUCCAUUGUCUUACUAACUAUAACCAUUAACUCAUACUAAUUCUCAUUCGAACAGCUUUUCUUUUCCCUUGUUCGUGCCUGAGCCUUCAGGUCGAUCGUACGUAACUGAAAACAUUUAAUUUAAGCAAGGAUGAGCAUUUGAGUGCCCAACAAGUAAUAGCAAUUAUAUAUAUAAGCUGAAAGAAUAUAAGUAUUCUCUUUCCAUAAUACUUCUACAACGAAUCAAAAGUUGAGAAGUAAUCUGUACUGAUAAAAGAUUCACAUAACAGCUCUCUUUCAAUUUCUUGAAAUUAGGCUCCACCCAUGAAUAGGGUUUAAGAAACAUACUAUGAACAUUGUUUUUCAUUUUCGAAAAGGUUUAGCAGAAAUUCAUCCGCAAACCGUCAUAACUUACGGGCACGGAGGGUGAUCAGCCCCGUUGUACCCUGUAUUGAUCAAUACUACAUAACUUGAACGAAAUUCAUCGCUCACCCUUUGUCCGCCGAAGCGCAUAAAAAUUUUCCCAUUAUCGGGAUGUUCAUACAUGCCUGGUUCCAAACCCGAAGGUUUUUAAUCUUGCUCAACAAUAAUAUGUAAUUCAACAUAUAUGUAUACGGGUAAUUGACAAAGGUAUAUCAACAUGUGAAUAAAUGCCAUGAUUAUCCAAGUGGGGACACUUGUAUAACCAUUUAGAAAUCAACUUAACAGAAUAUAUAUCUGAGCUAACAUGUUGAUAAUCAAAGCGUACAUAAUCUGUACAGGAAUAGAAUAAUUCUGAAACUUCUUACUCAUGUCCAUUGCAUAAAGGAAAUGCAAAGGUAAGAUACUUGCCUGAUUCGCUGAUUACAAAUCUCAACUUAGGUUUUAUCUCUUUAUCACAACCUAUCAAUAAUCAGAUCAUUCGUUCGAUUAGAACAAUAUAUCAUAACACAUAGUACUGUCUAUUACAGUCAGCACAUAGUCUAAUCACGUCAUCACAUAAUCGCAGUGAUCAUACUUUUAGUUCAUAUUCUAUACUUGAAAUAUUUUUAUACAUUUUUCAAAUAUCUCAUCCAUGCUCUUACAGAAGUCUUUUCUUUCUAUUAUAGGGUCUGACAUUUGUCGGCGUACCGACAGCUUUAUCGGGUAAAUACUGAGUCUAAGACUCUUAUCCUAUACCUCAACAUCUGUAAAUAUCAAACAUUUUAUUUUUAAUCAUUUUCGAAUUUUCCAGAAAUUGAAAAAUUUAAAAUAAUUCAAAUCUGUCACUACCGGGCCUAUAGUGAUAUAACUGUUACUAUAGGUGUUCCUCAAAACUUCAUAACUUCAUAAUCGGUUCUCAAGUCAGCUAGUUUGGCCGGCUAUAACUUUCAAACAUCGGAAUCAUAAUUAAAUGAUUUAAACAUUAAACAAUUCCAUUAUCAUUAAUAAUUAAUUUAUAUUAAACUAUUAAUGAAACCAUUGCCAAAAUAUAAAAGUUAUUUAUAAUAACUCAAACUAUUUUUAAAACAUUUAUAUUACCCUUAAAUGAUUUUUAAAACAAUUAAAAUCAUUUUUAAAUAAUCACCAUUAAUAUAUAAAUAUUAAUGUACUAUUCAUCCAAAUAUUAAAAGUCAUUAAUUAUAACUUAAAAUAUUUUUAAAUCCUUAAUAUCCUCUUUAAAUGAUUUUUAAAUAAAUAAAACCAUUUUUAAACUAUUUAUUUAAUAAUAAUUAUUAAAUAAACUAAAUAUCAUUAAUAUUAUCUUAAUAUCAUUAAUAUUAAAUUAUUAAUGAAAUUAUCCUUUAAAUAUUAAAAGUUAUAUUUUAUAACUUAAAAUAUUUUUAAAUACCUUAAUUUCAUUUAAAAUGAUUUUUAUAAUAUUAAAAUCAUUUUUAAACUAAAUUAUUUAAUAUAAUCAUUAAAUAACUUUAAUAUCAUUAAUAUAUAAUUAAUUAAUGAAAUUCAUCACAAAAUAUUAAAAGUCAUGGGAAAUAACUUAAAAUAUUUUCUUAUACCAUAAUAUAAUUUUUCAUGAUUUUUCAUGAAUUAAAACUAUUUUUAAAUCAUUUAUUUAAUAUUAUAAUUAAAUAAAUAAAUACCUUUUAUAUUCCAAAAAUAUUAAAUAUUUAUGAAAUAUACUCAAAAUAAUUAAAAACUAUUUUUCAGACUUUAAAAUAAUUUUUCAUAAUUUAUUUGGUAUUUUUAAUAAUUAAAAUCUAAUUUUUCUAAUUUUUAAAUCAUUUUUCGGAAAAUCAGAAAUUAAAAUAAUUAAAACUGUCGCUAAAGGCCCCUAUAGUGACAGAAGUGUCGCUAUAGGUGUUCUUGAGCCUACCCAGAUCUUCAUAAGGCAGAACCGAGUGGCCUACUUUGACCGUGAAUAACUCUCUCAUCUUAACGAAUUUGGACAAUCUAUAAAUUGGGUCUUGUAGAGGAAAUACAAGACUACAAGAUCCAACAAUCAUAACCUCUAAACAAACAUCAGAUCUGGGAUAAAUCAGCCAUCAAAGUAGCUACCAAAGCUGUUCUUCACGAAGAACAGUUCGAGGUGCCUACUUUGGACCUCUAUAACUUGAUGAUCGUGUAACGUUUAUGUGAUCUAUCAAUUCCAGUGUGUAGACAACAUGUAGGACUACAACUCUAACACUUAACAUCAUCAUAAAAACAAGAAAUCAAGCAUCUAAAGUAUGGUCAAACCUUGUCAGAAAAAUUAACACUUAGAAAAUUCUGGGCUGCCCAGAAUUUUCUGGUCAAUGCCGGUCAACCCACUUUGACCUUAAAUAACUCUUAAUCCGUAAUAUAUAUGGACCUGAUUCUUUUUGGAGGUUAAAUACCACAUAACAAGAUACACAUAUCAACCUUUAGAACACAAAACACAUUAAAGAUAACCGAGAUAUAAGGCCUGACAUUUUCCAAAAUAAUAUUUUCUGGACACUUAGAAUAUUUUCUGGGUUUGAAGAACAGCCGGUCAAUGCCGGUCAACCCACUUUGACCGCUUAUAAAUCCCGAUCUACAAUAGCUAUGAACUUUAUUCCUUUUGGAGAUUAAAGACCACAUAUCAGGCUACCUAUAACAACUUUUAAACAACAAAACUCGUGAUCGACCAAAGAGUUAUAGCCUCUGACAUUUGGUGAAAAAUAACAGAAUUCGGUUUUUCCAACUUGUUUAAAUCUUCAAAUUCGUGCACUUUGAUGUUAUGGGUUCAUGAUUUUACAACCCAGAACAUUAAUAGACUCUCUAUUACACUACUUUAAACAAUCAAUUGCAUCAAUUAACAUCGAAUCGAAGGAUUUCUAGAAUUUAGGAUUUCCUACCUUUUCAAGCUUGAUUUUUGAUUUCUGGCUUCUUGAUGCUUCUGAUUUGUUGUUUGUGAUGGUUGGGCUUUGUUUAGGGACUGAUAUGCUACAAUAAUU